RNAcentral lists this transfer RNA (69 nucleotides) under Ictidomys tridecemlineatus (thirteen-lined ground squirrel). Its description in RNAcentral is "Spermophilus tridecemlineatus (thirteen-lined ground squirrel) tRNA". It matches the Rfam family "tRNA". From Rfam's summary of the family: Transfer RNA (tRNA) molecules are approximately 80 nucleotides in length. Their secondary structure includes four short double-helical elements and three loops (D, anti-codon, and T loops). Further hydrogen bonds mediate the characteristic L-shaped molecular structure. tRNAs have two regions of fundamental functional importance: the anti-codon, which is responsible for specific mRNA codon recognition, and the 3' end, to which the tRNAs corresponding amino acid is attached (by aminoacyl-tRNA synthetases). tRNAs cope with the degeneracy of the genetic code in two manners: having more than one tRNA (with a specific anti-codon) for a particular amino acid; and 'wobble' base-pairing, i.e. permitting non-standard base-pairing at the 3rd anti-codon position. RNAcentral also lists the same sequence under 1 other name. Lineage: Eukaryota; Metazoa; Chordata; Mammalia; Rodentia; Sciuridae. The record is from Rfam by way of RNAcentral.
GGGGCUGUAGCUCAGUGGUAGAGCACUUGCCUAGCAUGUGUGAGGCCCUGGGUUCGAUCCUCAGCACCA